UACGGAGGGUGCAAGCGUUGUCCGGAUUUAUUGGGUUUAAAGGGUGCGUAGGCGGCUAAUUAAGUCAGUGGUGAAAGGCAGCAGCUCAACUGUUAGCACGGCCAUUGAUACUGAUUAGCUUGAGUACAGUCGAGGUAGGCGGAAUUGAAGGUGUAGCGGUGAAAUGCAUAGAUAUCAGGAAGAACACCCGUGGCGAAGGCGGCUCUCUGGGACGGUACUGACGCUGAGACGCGAAAGCGUGGGGAGCGAACAGG
This 254-nucleotide ribosomal RNA is filed under the name uncultured bacterium. RNAcentral's name for it is "partial 16S ribosomal RNA". It matches the Rfam family "Bacterial small subunit ribosomal RNA", at positions 524 to 776 of the family's 1533-position model. The record is from RNAcentral.